AUAGCUUUAGGGCUAGCCUCAAGGUGAGAGAUACGGAGGUAGAGCACUGAAUGUCCUAGGGGGUAUUGCACCUACCGAAGACUAUCAAACUCCGAAUGCCGUCAUCUUAUACUUGGGAGUCAGACUGUGGGUGAUAAGAUUCAUAGUCGAAAGGGCAACAGCCCAGAUCGUCAGCUAAGGUCCCUAAAUGUAAGUUAAGUGGUAAAGGAUGUGGGAUUGCACAGACAACCAGGAUGUUGGCUUAGAAGCAGCCACUCAUUCAAAGAGUGCGUAAUAGCUCACUGGUCGAGUGAUCCUGCGCCGAAGAUUUCCGGGGCUAAAACUUACUACCGAAGCUACGGCAUCAGUAAUGAUGGGUAGGGGGGCUUCCCAUACGGGUUGAAGCAUGACCGUAAGGACAUGUGGACAGUAUGGGAGUGAGAAUGUUGGCAUGAGUAGCGAGAUGUGGGUGGGAAUCCCACAGGCCGUAAACCCCAGGUUUCCAGGGGAAG
Molecule: ribosomal RNA, 491 nt
Filed under: Clostridioides difficile
Lineage: Bacteria; Bacillati; Bacillota; Clostridia; Peptostreptococcales; Peptostreptococcaceae
Description: bacterial LSU rRNA
Rfam family: Bacterial large subunit ribosomal RNA
Source: RNAcentral